AAAAUUAGAGUGUUCAAAGCAGGCAGAUCCAAUUUUCUGCCACCGAAUACAUUAGCAUGGGAUAAUGGAAUAGGACCCUGUCCUCCUAUUUUCAGUUGGUUUGCCGCGAGGACCAGGGUAAUGAUUAAUAGGGAUAGUUGGGGGCAUUAAUAUUUAAUUGUCAGAGGUGAAAUUCUUGGAUUUAUGAAAGAUUAACUUCUGCGAAAGCAUCUGCCAAGGAUGUUUUCAUUAAUCAAGAACGAAAGUUAGGGGAUCGAAGACGAUCAGAUACCGUCGUAGUCUUAACCAUAAACGAUGCCGACCAGCGAUUAGGAGACGUUGAAUACAAAACACCACCAUGCGCAUUGCGGUCGUCUUUGGUGUGUCGCUUCACAAGGCGGCAUCAUCGGGACGGCUUAGCUCGCAUUGGCACCGGUGAA
Molecule: ribosomal RNA, 419 nt
Filed under: Acanthamoeba sp. RAC047
Lineage: Eukaryota; Discosea; Longamoebia; Acanthamoebidae
Description: SSU rRNA
Rfam family: Eukaryotic small subunit ribosomal RNA
Source: RNAcentral